Molecule: ribosomal RNA, 483 nt
Filed under: uncultured bacterium
Lineage: Bacteria
Description: partial 16S ribosomal RNA
Rfam family: Bacterial small subunit ribosomal RNA
Source: RNAcentral
AGGGAAAGAGGGAGGCAGGCCUAACACAUGCAAGUCGAGCGGAUGAAGGGAGCUUGCUCCUGGAUUCAGCGGCGGACGGGUGAGUAAUGCCUGGAAUCUGCCUGGUAGUGGGGGAUAACGUCCGGAAACGGGCGCUAAUACCGCAUACGUCCUGAGGGAGAAAGUGGGGGAUCUUCGGACCUCACGCUAUCAGAUGAGCCUAGGUCGGAUUAGCUAGUUGGUGGGGUAAAGGCCUACCAAGGCGACGAUCCGUAACUGGUCUGAGAGGAUGAUCAGUCACACUGGAACUGAGACACGGUCCAGACUCCUACGGGAGGCAGCAGUGGGGAAUAUUGGACAAUGGGCGAAAGCCUGAUCCAGCCAUGCCGCGUGUGUGAAGAAGGUCUUCGGAUUGUAAAGCACUUUAAGUUGGGAGGAAGGGCAGUAAGUUAAUACCUUGCUGUUUUGACGUUACCAACAGAAUAAGCACCGGCUAACUUCGUG